This is a long non-coding RNA of Photinus pyralis (common eastern firefly), 382 nucleotides long. RefSeq lists it as uncharacterized. Lineage: Eukaryota; Metazoa; Arthropoda; Insecta; Coleoptera; Lampyridae. The record is from RefSeq and is a predicted model, not a curated record. The transcript is spliced from 2 exons.
UAUCUGGUCGUAAUGGAAGGUCAGAAAGUUAACUCUAAUUGCAAUUUAAGGAGUGCGCUGCAGCAAAUGUUUGCGUUAUAUUACAUUUUUAACCUGGAGUAUCCCAAACAAAUUGCGAAUACAAUGGAAUUGAUACAGAGUUACUUUCUAAAAAUUCACCCACAGCAAGGCACACGCAAUAGAAAAUCGUGUGCGAAAGCAAAGAUAGCCACUUUUUUAAACAAACUGCGAGAUGAAUAGGCAACGAGAUUAUAGAUUAUACGUUCAGGAAGAUGAAGUUUUGUUUCAUUUAGUGUAUAUAGGUAUAUAUUUUUAAGUUAUAAGUUAGGUACUGUUUUUUAUUUGUAUUAUUUUUGAUUUUAUUAUAUAUACAUAGUACGUG